Molecule: long non-coding RNA, 931 nt
Organism: Panicum virgatum (switchgrass)
Lineage: Eukaryota; Viridiplantae; Streptophyta; Magnoliopsida; Poales; Poaceae
Exons: 3
Source: RefSeq, a predicted model, not a curated record
GUCUGCCUGUUUUUGAACUGCUUGACCGGUCAGACCGGCCUUCUAUACCGGUCAGACCGGUCUGUGCCUGAGCUGCUUCGUUUUGAGUUGGUUCUCACGCUUUUGCUUCCACAUUGCAAUCCGAGUUUUCGGAGUUGAGAUAGCUUGUUCAUAGCUGUUCUCACUGAUCUCGAUUUGAGGGUUUGCGGUGACUUUGGGACAUCGGCCGACGGUUUUGAAAUUUCGAAGAAAUUUUGAUCGGCUCCCAUUCACCCCCCUCUGGUUGCCGGCUUCGAUCCUUCACCUUCACUUAUUCUCUCCUUCACAGCUCCAAGAACCUCUGGUCAUGGCGACCAAGCUUCUGAAGAUAUUUUAUCCUCCUAGCAGAGUCCCUUGAACCAGUUCUUUUUGCCUUCCUCCCCGCAAAUACAGGUUUCUGCAACAAAUAUUAUUUGAAAUAUACAUCCACAAAGUGCCGCCGGCCGUCAAAGCACCGGUUCUGCUUCCUUUCUGCCCGACUGCCAGCUUGCUAAUUGAUGUUUCUGCGAGCUGUUCAAAGAACCACUCCUGCAACAGCUUUACCGGAUCUCUUGGUGCAUAACAGAUCCGCACCUGUUGACAAAUUAAGAUGGUAGACCACGCUCGUGAGGAAUGGAUUGUCAACAUAAGAAAUCGACUAGAUGAACAGUUCACCGAUCUAACUAAACUAAAGCCCGCAUUAGCGGCUCUAGACACCAGCAAGGACAAGCCAUCGAUAUACUGGACUGGUAGCCAUCCCGAAAGGUUUCGUAUCGGUAUCCUCCUCCUCAAGAGCUCGGGCAAUGUGGCUGAAAAGGACCACAUGUGGGAAUAUGUUGCGUUUAUGACCAGAUGGCUCGGUCUCGACGUGACUUUAUUCCUUAGAUACAUGAAGGAUAGGGAAGAUUUAGUCAAGAGCUACUAGUUUUGGAGC